This is a long non-coding RNA of Ornithodoros turicata, 992 nucleotides long. RefSeq lists it as uncharacterized. The transcript has 2 exons. Lineage: Eukaryota; Metazoa; Arthropoda; Arachnida; Ixodida; Argasidae. The record is from RefSeq and is a predicted model, not a curated record.
UGAAUCGUAUAGUUCUUCUGACUAAAACUCCCUAUUAGAUCAAUUACAAAUAACCAUUACGUUUGUGCCCUCUAAGAGGGGUUGUUACUCUUCAUUUGCAUGCAAUGUGAUUUCCAGUUGAACCAUUAUGAUUUGCAACUGUUUAUACUUCUGGCGCAGGCACUACACAACCUAAAACAAGACGGAAUGGGGUCUUUGAAUGUUCUUUCUGUCCUUACGCUUCAAAGUGGAAAUGGAAUGUGAUUACUCAUGAGAGGACGCACACAGGAGCCAAGCCGUUCACAUGUGACAUCUGCAAGAAGACAUUUGCACACAAGAGCAGUCUCGGUCCUCACUUACGCCGCCACACAGGAGAGAAGCCUUACAAGUGUCAACUCUGCUCAGUCUCGUUCAGCCUAAAGAAAUCCAUGUUAGACCACAUUAAGACGCACAGGAAAGCCAGACCGACUGUGCGCAAAGUCUGUGCCAAGUGACUUUACCGCAGCACCGAGUUGUAGUUCCACAAUACUAUUCCCAUUGGACGAACUCGUUGCAAGGUCUGUUCCCGCUCCUCUUCAACAUACAGGUGUCUUCCUGAGCACAUUAUGCGACACACAGGAGCAAGACAAGACAGAACAACAUGAGACGACAUUUACGCCGUCACGUUAACACUGCGUCAUGAGUAUGUGGAACUUUCUUGGGAGUUUGCGUAUUUCUGUUCUGUUAUCUAGUCUCGUUUACUGCAUUUCCACUUCUUACACGAAUGGCAGAAACAGCUGCCAUGUGUUUCCUUAAACUGCACUUAGGCAUUGUGAGUUCCCACAUGCACACUCUUCAGUUUCUCCUUGUUUACGCUAUUAUUAUUAUUUUUGUGUUCCGCGAAAUUUUAUGUAAAAUGUUGACAGCACUUUCUUGAGUGUAUUCUUUGUUUUGAUGCGUAUGUUUUUGCUGAUCGCAUAACCUUUGUAUUCGUGUCGAGCCAAUAGAGAAACAAUGUUGAUUUGCUGGAAUAA